AUGUUGGGUGAUUUCCAAGAUGCGAUGAUAAUCCCAGAAGAAGUUGUGCGGCGUUUCAAAGGUGGGAUCCCAAGAGAGAUCAAGCUAGAAACCCGAAAUGCUUACAGUUACACUAUUGUGGUUACCAAGAACCAAGAAAAGCUUGUCCUUACAGCGGGGUGGCGGCAAUUCAUUGAAAACUAUGAUCUACAGAUUGGUGAUUCCUUAAUGUUCAGAUGCAAAGAGGACUCUCAGUUUAUUGUCAUGAUCUUUGAUAAGCUUAGUCGCGAAAAAGCAUUAUCGGUUGUUCUGGAUCCUUUUUGGCAUGGGGUCCAAACUUCACUUGAAAUAACAAAGUUCGGUUAA
Molecule: ribosomal RNA, 345 nt
Filed under: Triticum aestivum (bread wheat)
Lineage: Eukaryota; Viridiplantae; Streptophyta; Magnoliopsida; Poales; Poaceae
Description: partial small subunit ribosomal RNA
Source: RNAcentral